GGAUGUUGCUACGAUGAUACACGUGUAUCCCAGCUCAUUAUGAGACCUUUUGUAGGUCUAAGAGUAGAAUUUUUCCACACAUAAAUCUGAGCUAUCG
Molecule: small nucleolar RNA, 97 nt
Organism: Cannabis sativa
Lineage: Eukaryota; Viridiplantae; Streptophyta; Magnoliopsida; Rosales; Cannabaceae
Source: RefSeq, a predicted model, not a curated record